RNAcentral lists this long non-coding RNA (368 nucleotides) under Danio rerio (zebrafish). RNAcentral's name for it is "lncRNA si:dkey-85n7.11 (ENSDARG00000096759.2)". Lineage: Eukaryota; Metazoa; Chordata; Actinopteri; Cypriniformes; Danionidae. The record is from RNAcentral.
GUGGAGUCAAACAGGUUGUGUCUUUGGAUUUUCAGCACUUUAAUACUUGGAAAUGGAAGUUGAAAUCUCUUGCGAGAUCUCCGAGCGCCAGAAAGAAGCGCAGCAGGGCAAUGAAAGGCCUGGGAACGGCACUAAUAACGAGGAGAAGGAGAAAAUGAAGAAGCAGAAAAAGAAAAAGAAGAGCAGGGUUGGCUCCUUUAUCAGAGCUGCCCUAAGAUGCUUUUGCUUCGCUCCAAGAAACUCUUCGAUCCGACUUUCACCCUCUGAUGACAAUGAGAAUGAGAUCUAUCAGAAUAUGAUGGUGAAGGUGGAAGAAGAGGAGGAGGUGGUGGAGAAGGAGGAGGAGAUGAUGAAAGAAGAGGAUGAGG